RNAcentral lists this ribosomal RNA (465 nucleotides) under uncultured bacterium. RNAcentral describes it as "partial 16S ribosomal RNA". It matches the Rfam family "Bacterial small subunit ribosomal RNA", at positions 338 to 795 of the family's 1533-position model. The record is from RNAcentral.
CCUACGGGCGGCUGCAGUGGGGAAUUUUGCGCAAUGCUCGUAAGAGUGACGCAGCGACGCCGCGUGAAGGACGAAGGCCUUCGGGUCGUAAAGUUCUUUCGACAGGGGAGAAAAUGCCUAUAAGUAACUGUGUAUGUAUUGACGGUACCUGUAUAAGCAGCCCCGGCUAACUCCGUGCCAGCAGCCGCGGUACUACGGGGGGGGCGAGCGUUGGUCGGAGUGACUGGGCGUAAAGAGCACGUAGGCGGUGUUGUAAGUCAUUAGUCAAAGACUAGAGAUCAAAUUUAGUAAGGCUAGUGAUACUAUAAUACUAGAGUAGCAGAGAGGAAUGCAGAAUGCCUGGUGUAGCGGUGAAAUGCGUAGAUAUCAGGAGGAAUACCGUUAGCGAAGGCGGCAAUCUGGCUGGAAACUGACGCUGAGGUGCGAAAGCGUGGGUAGCAAACAGGAUUAGAUACCCUUGUAGUC